Non-coding RNA from Danio rerio (zebrafish), 1337 nucleotides. The record is from RefSeq and is a predicted model, not a curated record. NCBI's taxonomy places the organism in Eukaryota, Metazoa, Chordata, Actinopteri, Cypriniformes, Danionidae.
CCAACGUCAUACUGACGUCAAAUACUGACAUUUAUUCAUCAGGUAUGGCAACCAAAAUCCAAUGUCUGAUAGGGAUCAUAGUGGUAAUGACAACACAACAUCACGCUGGAACAUCAUUAGACGUUAAUAUUUGGUUGAUUUUAGGUUGGCUGUUGGACAUUGACAUCGACCUGACAUUGGAUUCUGAUGUCAACCCGAUUUUAAUUUCCAAACAAAAUGGAGCAUCCCCAUGACGUUAGUAUACAAUGUCAAUCUGACAUCUUGUCGACGUCUUGUGCCUGCUGGGUGUUCAAGGCCAUUUCGCUCAUCAUAAACAUCUGUCAUCUUCUCAUCAGUGACAUGCAUCUAAAUCUUUAGUUGGACUUAGUUGGACAGGAAUCACAGGACUGACUUCUCUAACCCUCAUUGACAGAAGAAAAUAGUGUCUCCAGGUUGAAGGAAAUUUGUGGAGUAAAAGUAUUGAUAUAGCACUAAAAAUGUACUCACGGGAAAGUAAGAGAAGACAUAUUUAAAACUAAUAAAUUGUACAUUUCAGAGAAAAACUACACAAUUACAGUAAUUUGAGUAUUUGUAAUUUGUUACUUUACGUCACUGUGUAUAAAUCCAUCUCUUCUGUCCAUUUUUGAUCACUUAUUUGAUGAGAGAGAUUCUAUGGACCUGUGUAUGUAAGGGCUUUUUCCAAAACCUUUUAAUUGAAUAUUAUAAAAUAGACUUGUGCAAUUCAGCUUAUAACUUUUGAAAAGAAAAAACCCACAUCCUCCUAUGAAUCUUUACUAUGCAUGUGUCAGUCAUCUUUUUGUACCUCCAUAAAAUCAAGUAUAUUUUGACUGUAUGCAUAAAAAUAUCUAUAGACUAAAAUAAUGUCUUUCAUUUAUAGGGAAGAACCUGACAUUUGCUCAGUCACCUGCUCUGUAAUGAGUUAUCUCUCAUUACUAAUCUUCAAAUGACACAUAAUUGUCCCUUUUCUUCACCCUGGAGACCUGGAGAACCCAGCAGAACCCUCAGCAAACAGAAGAUAUAUGAGUGUUAAGCGAGUUAGAGAAAACAUUGGAAGAUGUCCACAAGCAGUCCUUUCCCACAAGGCCACAGCAAGACCAGAAACAACGACUGGAAUGUGGACAUGGUCACUGGAAAUGGAGGUGUGGCGGAACCUCUUGCUCUCUGCUUGAUGUGAAGAUGGUCACGUUGUUUCUGUGAGGACUGGUAGUUCCUCAGACCCUGUACCAGGCCCCUGGCGAUGGUUUUGACACGUGGGGUUAGAAUAGCCUGCGACACAUGAAAGCUGCCGUAUUUGGCUCUUUCACCCAGCGUGGUCUCCAGGAACUGGAUGAGUUUGG